CCGCUCAGCCUUCAGCAGCACAUAUACUGACAUUGGAAUGAUACAGAGAAGAUUAGCAAGGCCUCUGCGUAGGGCUGACACGCAAAUUCAUGAUGCGGCCCGUAAGGCA
This is a non-coding RNA of Chelonia mydas (Green sea turtle), 109 nucleotides long. NCBI's taxonomy places the organism in Eukaryota, Metazoa, Chordata, Testudines, Cheloniidae. The record is from Rfam.